CUUAAGCUACAGUUGGUAAAAAAAGAAAAAAUGAAAAACCAACUCUCCGAGUUUCAUUUUGCCUUUACACGGCAACAAGUAUCAUUUUGCCUUCAACGCCUCUCUCUCUCUCUCAUCCUCCUCCUUCGUUUUUCCCAGAAACCCCAGCCCAUAAACCAGCCAAAUAAUAAUAGUGAUGGGUAUGGCAUCCGCAUCCGUCGUCGGCGGACAGAAGCGUUGUGAGCUUCGAUGGAAGUUUUUCGUUGCAGGUCUAGGUUGCCGUAAUGGCCUGUCAAGAAACCUGGAUUUCAGAGAGUCAACUCAGAUGAAGCUGUGAGCUGAACUAACAGAGUGAAAGCUUUUUAUGGCCUAUUGAACAGCUUGAAAGCGGCUGCGAUUAAAGUGGCGGAACUAAUUUUUGAAGCACUUGUUUAUCUACUGAACAAGUUUGGGUUCUCCUUUCUUUUUUGUUUUUUGUUUUUUGGUUCUUUUUCAAAUUUGAAUGUUAUUUGCCUUUUUUGUAUUCUACAAGUUUCAACAUAAAUUUCGGCUGUUAAUAUAUUUAAGAUUUCAAUUUUGAAAGCUUUUUAUCACCAAUUGAACAGAUUUGGGUUCUUGUAUAAAUAUGUUAGUCAUGAGCAUAAACUACUUAGCCUGUUAGAGUGAAGAAGUUAGUCCAAGACAAUAGAAUUCGUAUAAACACUUCAUUGGGUCUUUAACAGGGAAGCUAAUGUAAAUAGUAGCUACAAUUAGUAUGAACAUAAACAUAGGGUACCUUCAAGAGAUUAAGUGAGUAGGUGAGAAAUGUAGAGAGAUUAAAAGUACAUGAUAUAAAUUAUGGUAUACAAUAAAAGAUGAAAAUAUGAAUGGAUAUGGAUAAUCCUAGAUAAAUGUCUUAAAAAAAUUUCUUGAGGUUGGAAGGAUAGGGGAUUAAAUUUUGCAAACAAAAUUUGUUUUAGGAGAAGAGACUAUUGACAUAGUGCAUACACUCCUCAAAUAGGGGUGGGAGAAUGCGUUAGGCAGAAAUUAUGGGAGGACAUGUAUGAAUUGAUUGAAGGUGUACCAAAUGGGUAAAAGAUUUUUAUUGAACGAGAUCUGAAUGGUCAUGCUGGAAAAGAUAGUGGAAGUUCUGAAAGAGUUCAUGCCUUCACGGAGGUCAAGGUUAUGGAGUAAGAAUUGAAUCAGGAGAUGCUAUUUUAGACUUUGCAACAAUCUAUGAUUCAAUAUUAACAAAAAAUUUGUUCAAUAUAUGAUUUAAUAUUAACGAACACUUGGUUCAAGAAGAGAGACAAAUAUUAGCAAUAUAAAUUUCAUCCUUGAAAUGUUGAUAGUAGAUGUUGUAAAGAUUGUAAGGUGAUAUCAGGGGAGAGCGUAACCACUCAGUAUAGGUUCGUGGCAUUAGAUUUUUGUAUAAGAAAGUGAAAAAGGAAAAAAGAAAAAAGAUAAAGAAAAAAAAAAAAAGAUGAUAUAUUAGAGAGUGAAACCCAAGAAUUAGGAAGGGUGUUUGAAAGGAGACAAACAGGUGUUUAAAGAUAAAAUGAUUAAAGAAGGCAAGUGAGGUCUAUACGAAGCUGUUCAUAAGAUGUGGAAUGAAAUGAGUAGUUAUAUUAUUAAAAGAGUGAUUAAGAGGUAUUUAGAGAAUCUAAAGGAUUUGUGCAAUGAACUAAAGAGAUUUGGAGGUGGAAUGAGCAACUUCAGGCAGCAGUUAGUUCAAGCCAAAAAAGGAUAGGAGCAAGGAGAAUGAAGUGGAAAAGUACACAAAAGUAUUGUAUGAUCGUUGGAUACCUAUUAAGUUAAAGGGAAAAUGUUAUAAGAUUGCUAUAACACCAAUUAAACUCUAUGGUAUCGAAUUUAAGGCUAUUAAAAAGCAAUAUUCAUAAAAUGAGUGCAGGCUCGCUACAAUUUGAGGCCUAAGGCAUGAUAAUUUGAAAUAAAAUUUUUCUUAUAUCAAAUAGCUAAACAACACACACACACACACACACGCAUAUAACUUUCUAUAUUAAGAUUUUUUUAUUUAUAGUCUAUAUUUUCAGUUUUUAAGAUGUUAAAUUUUCCUGAUUUGUGCCCCCAUAGUACAUCCCCAAUGUACUCGGUUUGGCAAUCUUUUUAUUAUUAAUAAUAUUCUUACGUUAUUUAUCAAAAUUAAAAAAAAAUGCGAAAUUAAUAAUGAAGUUUUUGUAUUCAAAUUUUGCUAACAUCUCCUUUUAUAUUGAAAACAUGAUUAAUCCAUUUGGUUUUUCUUGUGACAUGGAUUUUAUUAAAUUAGUUCUAAAAAUAAAUACAAACCGUCAAUAUUGAAUAGAUUAUUUUUAGAACUAAAUUAAUAAAUAUUGAUCAUGUGCAAAGGAGAUUGAUUAAUCCAUCAAUGAGGAUAUGAGUUGGUUCGUGUUGAGUGAAUGAAAAAAGUUAUAGAAAAUUUUAAAAUAACAUUAAUAGAAGUAGUAAAAAAUGACAUAUCAAUAAAGGAGACAGAGUAUGAUUAGAAUGACAGAAAAUAAUAUAUGUGGCCAACUCUGAUUAUUCUGUUGAGGAUCCCUAGUAGACUUUAAAGUUUUGGGACUAAGGCUUGGUUGUUGUUUAUAUUUUAACGUCAAGAUUAAUGCAUGUAUGAGGAACAAGAAAUCUUAUAUCAGACCUGUUGCUUAUUGAAGGACUUCAGUUAUUACAAACUCACCACUGCCCAAGCAUACACACAUAUGAUAGACUGAAUUUUUAGAAUUCUUGAUAAGACAAAUUGUCAGAGAUUAUUUCUUAUAGUAAGGGUGAAUGAAAUAAUCUUGAUAGUGGCUGAUUCAUCUCUUGAUAAGACAAAUUUUCAGAGAUUAUUUCUUAUAGUAAGGGUAUAUUGAUAGUGGCUUGUUCAUCUCUUUGCAUUGAAUUACACUCAUUGUGGUAGGUUUGGGAGAGAAACUUAAUAAAGCUGAAGGGAUUUCCUUUUUUUAUUAUUGAAGUAAAUUUUUUUUUUUUUUUUUAUUUAUUUAUUUUUUUUUUAAUGUAAAAGCUCAAGGAUCUCUUAUUUGUGUAUGUGCCAGUGAUGAAACACUUGUUUUCUUUGAAGCAUUUCAUGGGCUUCUUCUCUUCCUCACCCCAUUUUCGACUGCCUUAAUUGGUUUACACUUUCCAGUCAUGGGCGUCUCGCCACUUGAUACACAUUUUGCUAUCAUCUUGUUUUUCAUCAUGGCUACAAUUGUCCAUGGCAUUGCAUGUAUUGGUAUAAAGCUACUACCUCAAGACAUUGAGAACCUACCCAGAUUGAGGUUCAUUUGUCUAGUUUCUGGAAUUAUUGCUAUAGAGCUACUUGUUGCAAUAAUCAUUUCGCCCUUUUGGCUAUUCAUGGUUAAUUUAUGUCCAAUCCUGAUCCUAGGGGCACCAUGUCAUUCGUACCAACAAGUUUAUCAUUGUCUGUGCUACACAGCUAAUUUAGUACUCAAUGUAGUAUGUAGCUUGUUUAAAAAGAUUUGUCAAUUAGUUGAUCAGAUAUAUGACUGGAUCCAAAAGAAAUUCCAGUAAAGCAGCUUCUCAAGCAUUGUCUUCAAGGGAACAGGAAGACAAUGGUGUGCAAAUGGAAGAAAUUGUUUUAGUGACCUGUUAUUGUUAAUUAGACGUAUUGUACGCACAAUUUUCACUUUGCAAUUUUCUGUUUGUGGAAGUUUGAAUUUAUUUACAUUUCAGUCAAAGUGAGGUUAAUUAUACUAUAUUCAGCA
Long non-coding RNA from Quercus robur (English oak), 3683 nucleotides. RefSeq lists it as uncharacterized. The record is from RefSeq and is a predicted model, not a curated record. The transcript is spliced from 3 exons. NCBI's taxonomy places the organism in Eukaryota, Viridiplantae, Streptophyta, Magnoliopsida, Fagales, Fagaceae.